AUAUCUAGUGUAGUUACAAAACAAUAACCGUCAGUGGCCGCAUUCAAAUAGUGAAUUAUUUUUUUGAUCGGGUCAAUGGGACAUAAUAUAUUCUGACGACUGCGAUGAAUACGAAAAUUAAAAUAUAUUGUAUUUUUUCCACGUAAAUUUCUAGUCAUAAAACGAAUUCGUUAGCAGAAAAUUAAAAUCUAUACAAUUUAUUAACGAGACGAG
Non-coding RNA from Cinara cedri, 213 nucleotides. Lineage: Eukaryota; Metazoa; Arthropoda; Insecta; Hemiptera; Aphididae. The record is from the annotation of a GenBank genome assembly.